Molecule: long non-coding RNA, 1524 nt
Organism: Felis catus (domestic cat)
Lineage: Eukaryota; Metazoa; Chordata; Mammalia; Carnivora; Felidae
Exons: 3
Source: RefSeq, a predicted model, not a curated record
CUUAACCGACUGCGCCACCCAGGCGCCCCAAGGUCUCUGCAUUUAUAACAUGGACAUAAAAUAAUCUCCACUUUAUAGACUCAGAGUAAGUUCUAAAUGAGUUAACACAUGUAAAAUUAUUCAAGUAAUGCCUAUGUCAUGGCUAACACUCGGGUGAAUGUUAGCUCAUUCACAUUCUACAAGCAAUACCCUGCUUGAAUUUUACACAAAUACGUCUAUUAGUUUUACCUCAAACAUAAUUACUUUUGUCCCCAUUUUACAGGUGAAGAAACAAUGUAAAAGGAAAACAAAUGGUUUGGCCAAGUCCCUACAACUACUACGUGAGCAAACAGGAACUGGACACCAGGUCCCCAAACUCCAGCUGCGUUUUCUGAGUGUCUACUCGGUGCCAGGUGGUUGAGAAAGGUGCUUUUUAACAUGUCAACACUUGCUAUGUCCUGCCCCUAUUAUCAAUUGAGGAUAUUGAGGAUAGAGUUAGAGGCUAACUUGUAAAGAGGUAGUGGAAACAGGGCUGGAGAGCAAUUAGGCUCUUCCACACCCCCUUGAUGGAAUCUACGUUACCCCAUAGCAUACUGGUUGCCUCAGUGCUACCCACUAGUGCUUACUAGCCCCUGUGAGGAAAUCAGAGUUAAUGAAUCUCAGCCCUGUCAGAGAAAAGCUAAUAGCUUUGUGGGAAAUAGAAAAAAGUACCUACAAAGCUUUAAUACAAGGUGAAAAGGUGCCUGGGAACUCGGAGAGAUUCCUUCCAGUUGGAAGUGAACCUUGAAGAGGAGUGGAACUGGGGCGUGUGGAUAAGGGGCCUGGGUUGGGGGAAGAGCUGACUGGAGAAGCAGACACACGGAACUCCCAAGAAUAUCCAGUUAAGUCAGUGUGUGCAGAAGGCUCAGGGAAGGUCCCAGGACAGCCCUGCACCCCAGUUUUGGUUGGCCGGACCGAGUGACGUUGAAGGGAACGUGAAAAGGCAGACACAGAAGACCCUGUAUGGAUCCAGAAGGCUGGCAGGCAGGCUUAACAUCUCCAGGUCAAAGACUAUACGGACCUUCUUGGAGUAAUCUGUCCACCCCCAUGAGAAAAGGCACCUGGAUACUGACAUUGUUGGUUCUGACCCACCUACCAUGAAGCCUGUUCAACGCCUGCCAUGUUCAUGCCCCUCUAAACCUCCAUGUGCUAUUUUUAGUGUCCUGCUUUUAAAUAUGUGCUAACAGCCCAGGGUCGAUUGAAGACAAUUGAAGGAAGCCUCCAACCUGAGCAAAGGAGACCAAAACUAACAAACACCAUAAAAAAAGAAAAGUGAGGGAAGAGGGAUUUGAAAAGGGAGACAAUGUGGGGAGAAGCAACUUAAACCAGAAAAAAAAAACUAUUAUUAAUAUCUUUGUAGACAAAUGACAUUCCAUUGCAGCCACAAAUUAAGAACAGGUUAUUUUUCCAAGGAGUAUUCAUAAAACCAAAAAAGCACUUAGAAAUGUAAAAAUAAAACAGCAAAAGUGAAAAAGCUCAAAAAAGUUGGCAGAUACAAAACCAAAA